RNAcentral lists this ribosomal RNA (318 nucleotides) under uncultured Cortinarius. RNAcentral describes it as "eukaryotic LSU rRNA". The stretch from base 1 to 71 matches the Rfam family "5.8S ribosomal RNA", at positions 84 to 154 of the family's 154-position model. The record is from RNAcentral. Lineage: Eukaryota; Fungi; Basidiomycota; Agaricomycetes; Agaricales; Cortinariaceae.
GUGAGUCAUCGAAUCUUUGAACGCACCUUGCGCUCCUUGGUAUUCCGAGGAGCAUGCCUGUUUGAGUGUCAUUAAUAUAUCUAUCAACCCACUCUUUGUUGAGUGGUUUGGAUGUGGGGGUUUGCUGGCCUCUUUAAUGGUUCAGCUCCCCUGAAAUGCAUUAGCAGAACAACCCUGUUCAUUGGUGUGAUAACUAUCUACGCUAUUGAAUGUGAAGGGAAUUUCAGCUUUCUAACUGUCUUUGGACAAUUAAUCAUUAAUGUGACCUCAAAUCAGGUAGGACUACCCGCUGAACUUAAGCAUAUCAAUAAGCGGAGG